Molecule: ribosomal RNA, 845 nt
Filed under: uncultured Bacillota bacterium
Lineage: Bacteria; Bacillati; Bacillota
Description: bacterial SSU rRNA
Rfam family: Bacterial small subunit ribosomal RNA
Source: RNAcentral
CGGGGAAUGGGGCGUCUGACAUGCAGUCGACGGUAAGGGGGCUUCGGCCCCCCUAGAGUGGCGAACGGCUGAGUAACACGUAGGAACCUACCCUUCAGUUUGGGAUAACGGACCGAAAGGCCCGCUAAUACCGAAUAAUACAGCAAUGUUGAAAGGUUUACUGCUGAAGGAGGGGCCUGCGGGCUAUUAGCUUGAUGGUGGGGUAACGGCCUACCAUGGCGAUGAUGGCUAGCUGGUCUGAGAGGAUGAUCAGCCAGACUGGGACUGAGACACGGCCCAGACUCCUACGGGAGGCUGCAGUUCAGAAUCUUGCACAAUGGGCGAAAGCCUGAUGCAGCGAUGCCGCGUGGGUGAAGAAGGCUCUCGGGUCGUAAAGCCCUGUCAGAGGGGAAGAAUAAUGACGGUACCCUCUAAGGAAGCCACGGCUAAUUACGUGCCAGCAGCCGCGGUAAUACGUAAGUGGCGAGCGUUAUCCGGAAUCACUGGGCGUAAAGAGUGCGUAGGCGGCGCAGCAAGUUGGAUUUGAAAUCCCGGGGCUCAACUCCGGACACGGAUCCAAAACUGUUGUGCUAGAGCAGAUCAGAGGACAGCGGAAUUCCCGGUGUAGCGGUAAUAUGCGUAGAUAUCGGGAGGAACACCAGUGGCGUAGGCGGCUGUCUGGGGUCUUGCUGACGCUGAGGCACUAAAGCCAGGGGAGCGAACGGGAUUAGAUACCCCGGUAGUCCUGGCCAUAAACGAUGAACACUAGGUGUCGGGGGUUUGACCCCCUCGGCGCCGCCGCUAACGCAUUAAGUGUUCCGCCUGGGGAGUACGGCCGCAAGGUUAAAACUCAAAGGAAUUGACGG